AAUCACAACUCCGCACGAUGACAAGAAACAACAGGAAAAGAGGGACAUGACAAUAAGAAACAAACGAAAAAGAAAACGUUACCAAGAAGGAAAGGGAAGAAGGGCGAAGAAGAAUAAGCACAGGAACGAUGAAGUGUAGAGAAAGGAAAAAAAAAUGCCUCCACACUCAACACAUCAGUUAUCUACCUUUCUUAAAACACUUGUCAGGGAUAGGGACUCCAGAUGAUGCCUUACACGACCACAUUAGACAAGGCCAUCGUAGAGGUUGUGUUAGUGUUUCCAUGGGUUUAUAGCUUUAUGAGCCUAGUGAUAGUUUGACAAGGCCUCUGCACCAUGAACGUGAAAAAAAAGCACUCAUGAGAACUAGACUAAUCUCUUUGGUGACCUUUGGAUAUAUUUGUUAUCAGAGCCGAAAGCAUUUGAGAAGCCUUUGUUUUCCUAUAAGAUAACACAGUUGAAGAAAACAUAAGUUCGGUAUUCUCAAACGCUUCUGCCCCUCACAUGAACUAUUUCCAAAUGGCCAAAAAGGAGGUUAGUUAAUUCAUUAGGUUAGCAUGAGUGAUUUUGCCUCGUUCACGUUACGGAAGGUUUAUCAGACUACCACCAGGAUCGUAAAAUUACCAAUGGAAAUGCCCACCACUCCCACGAAAGCCUUGUCAAUGCUUAAGUGCAGAGUCACCAGGCUGUGGUUUCUCUGGGGACAUGCCGAGAUCGGAGUGCCCUAACCUGGGACGCCAAAGUGAAGGAAGAGUCGCUUUGAAAGGUCACCUGAAGGCACACACACUCAAAGGAGGAAGAGGAACGGGAAGAGGAGGAGAGAGGGACAGCAGGGCGCCAAUGUCCCCCUCGUAUCUCUCGGUUACUAAACGUGACACGCACUCACUCACACACGCCACACACCGGUUCUUACCAGUGGAGGGCAGUUUGUCCGUCAGUGUAUCAGUCAUUAACAUUGCUAAAGAAUCCAGGACGAAACUAACGAACCUAAAGAGUGAAGAGCGAGAGGAGAAGGAAGACGAGAAGGACAAAGAUAGCGACAAGGAGGAGGAGGAGGAGGACGACAAGAACGAAAAAAGAAAGAGAAAAGAAAAUGCUGAAGAAAAUAACGAUAAAAGGAAGGAAUACAAGGAUAAAGGACUUAAAAUACAGAAGACGAGAAGGACGAAGAUAACGACGAAGGAAGGGUGAAGACGAGAACAACGAAGAAGUGGAAAGAGAAAAGAAAAUGCUGACAAAGUAGAGAACGAUAAAGGGAAGGAAGACAACGAAAAAGGACUUAAAAUACAGCAGACGAGAAGGACGAAGAUGGCGAGGAGGAGGAGGGUGAUGACGACAACGAGAACGAAGAAGUGUAAAGAGGUAAGGAAGUGAUGAGGACGAAAAACGAGAAAGGGAAGGAAGAAAACGAAGAAAGUCAACAAAAAAUGAAAACGAGAAGGACGAAGAUGACGAUGACAACAACGAGGAAAAGUGAAAACAAAAGAGGAAGUGAUAAGGACGAAGAGAACGAGAAAGGGAAGGAAGAGAACGAAAAAGGACUUAAAAUACAAAAGACAGAGUGGACAUGAGAUGAAGCUAAAGAGAAUAGAAAGAAAAAGAAAACAGUGGACGCUACAUACUGCCUGGCCAACCCUUCAUGUGUCUGACCCUGGCUUUUUGUGUUACAGGACCUCUUGCCUCUAACCCGGCCUGGUUCGAAUCCCCGCAUCCACCUCAACCCAGCAACAGGUCAGAGGUCAACGGUUUCAUUAGCUGCUGCAAAAAUCAAAUUUCGUGCAGCAGUUCUUUUUUUCAUUCCCAGUGUCUUCUUUACUGAAUACAUACUUUACUAUGA
Eriocheir sinensis (Chinese mitten crab) is the source of this 1834-nucleotide long non-coding RNA. RefSeq lists it as uncharacterized. The record is from RefSeq and is a predicted model, not a curated record. Lineage: Eukaryota; Metazoa; Arthropoda; Malacostraca; Decapoda; Varunidae. The transcript is spliced from 2 exons.